RNAcentral lists this ribosomal RNA (231 nucleotides) under Triticum aestivum (bread wheat). RNAcentral's name for it is "partial small subunit ribosomal RNA". The record is from RNAcentral. Lineage: Eukaryota; Viridiplantae; Streptophyta; Magnoliopsida; Poales; Poaceae.
AUGCAGGUCUUCGUGAGGACGCUGGAUGGGAAGACCAUCACUCUUUGGGUUGGUAGCUUGGACACCGUCGGCAGUGUCAAGGUGAAGAUGUACGAAAUGAAGUACGACCCUUUCCCUAAACAGCAGCGCCUCAUCUUUCAAGGAAAGCAGCUGGAGGACGGCCGCACAUUGGCGGACUACAGCAUUCAUAGGGAGUGUACCCUUCAUUUGAUGCUCCGCCAGCAUUCAUAG